CUGACACAGGGAGGUAGUGACAAUAAAUAACAAUGCCGGGCCUUUUAAGGUCUGGCAAUUGGAAUGAGAACAAUUUAAAUCCCUUAUCGAGGAUCAAUUGGAGGGCAAGUCUGGUGCCAGCAGCCGCGGUAAUUCCAGCUCCAAUAGCGUAUAUUAAAGUUGUUGCAGUUAAAAAGCUCGUAGUUGGAUUUCUGGUGGGGACGUUUGGCCGGCCGUAACGGUUUGCGCUGAAAUGUUCUUCGCCAUCCUUGACGAAUACUGGUUCGCCAUUAAGUUGUGUGGGCUUGGAGUCGUCAUCGUUUACUGUGAAAAAAUUGAGUGUUCAAAGCAGGCUUAUGCCGUUGAAUACAUUAGCAUGGAAUAAUAAGAUAGGACCCUGGUACUAUUUUGUUGGUUUGCGUACCUAGGUAAUGAUUAAUAGGGACAGUUGGGGGUAUUUGUAUUCCGUUGUCAGAGGUGAAAUUCUUGGAUUUACGGAAGACAAACUACUGCGAAAGCAUUUACCAAGGAUGUUUUCAUU
Molecule: ribosomal RNA, 520 nt
Filed under: uncultured bolidophyte
Lineage: Eukaryota; Bolidophyceae
Description: SSU rRNA
Rfam family: Eukaryotic small subunit ribosomal RNA
Source: RNAcentral